UUCAGAAAAAGAUAUACUCUC
This 21-nucleotide non-coding RNA is filed under the name Caenorhabditis elegans. Lineage: Eukaryota; Metazoa; Nematoda; Chromadorea; Rhabditida; Rhabditidae. The record is from RNAcentral.